CCUACGGGUGGCAGCAGUGGGGAAUAUUGCACAAUGGGGGAAACCCUGAUGCAGCGACGCCGCGUGAGUGAAGAAGUAUUUCGGUAUGUAAAGCUCUAUCAGCAGGGAAGAAAAUGACGGUACCUGAGUAAGAAGCCCCGGCUAACUACGUGCCAGCAGCCGCGGUAAUACGUAGGGGGCAAGCGUUAUCCGGAUUGACUGGGUGUAAAGGGAGCGUAGACGGCAGUGCAAGUCUGGAGUGAAAGGCGGGGGCUUAACCCCCGAACUGCUUUGGAAACUGUGCGGCUGGAGUGCAGGAGAGGUAAGUGGAAUUCCUGGUGUAGCGGUGAAAUGCGUAGAUAUUAGGAGGAACACCAGUGGCGAAGGCGGCUUACUGGACUGUAACUGACGUUGAGGCUCGAAAGCGUGGGGAGCAAACAGGAUUAGAUACCCGGGUAGUC
This 440-nucleotide ribosomal RNA is filed under the name uncultured bacterium. Its description in RNAcentral is "partial 16S ribosomal RNA". It matches the Rfam family "Bacterial small subunit ribosomal RNA", at positions 338 to 795 of the family's 1533-position model. The record is from RNAcentral.